GCUACGGGAGGCAGCAGUGAGGAAUAUUGGUCAAUGGACGGAAGUCUGAACCAGCCAUGCCGCGUGCAGGAAGACGGCUCUAUGAGUUGUAAACUGCUUUUGUACAAGGGUAAACCUGAAUACGUGUAUUCUGCUGAAAGUACUGUACGAAUAAGGAUCGGCUAACUCCGUGCCAGCAGCCCCGGUAAUACGGGGGAUCCAAGCGUUAUCCGGAUUUAUUUGGUUUAAAGGGUGCGUAGGCGGAUUGAUAAGUUAGAGGGGAAAUGUCCGAGCUUAACUCGGGAACUGCCUCUAAUACUGUUGAACUAGAGAGUAGGUGCGGUAGGCGGAAUGUAUGGUGUAGCGGUGAAAUGCUUAGAGAUCAUACAGAACACCGAUUGCGAAGGCAGCUUACCAAUCUAUAUCUGACGUUGAGGCACGAAAGCGUGGGGAGCAAACAGGAUUAGAUACCCGGGUAGUC
This 460-nucleotide ribosomal RNA is filed under the name uncultured bacterium. Its description in RNAcentral is "partial 16S ribosomal RNA". It matches the Rfam family "Bacterial small subunit ribosomal RNA", at positions 338 to 795 of the family's 1533-position model. The record is from RNAcentral.